This is a long non-coding RNA of Vulpes vulpes (red fox), 1636 nucleotides long. Lineage: Eukaryota; Metazoa; Chordata; Mammalia; Carnivora; Canidae. The record is from Ensembl.
AGGGAAACGGGCAGCUCUUUGAGGCCCAGAAGCAAAAUCCCACCCAAGUCGGUGGAAGCCCGAAGUCAAUGGUGUAGAAUCACGUACCCGAGGGUCUGGAAACGGGGUUUGCUCGCACACAGGCUGAUUCCAAAGCUCGGGCACAGGACGCCCGGGGCGCUCAGGGGUUGAGCGUCUGCCUUCCGUCCAGGGCGCGACCCCGGGGUCCCGGGAUCGAGUCCCACGUCGGGCUCCCUGCGCCGAGCCUGCUUCUCCCUCUGCCUGUGUCUCUGCCUCGCUCAUGAAUAAAUAAGUAAAAUCUUAAAACAAAACAAAACAAAACAAAAAACAGAAGCUCAGGCACUGUAGUCAAGACCCAGUGUAUCUUGUUCUCUUCCCGGCUUGGCCAUUCGCCACCCCGAGGCUCCCCCUCGGCUUCUUCCUACCGGGCCUCCGGCUUCCCACCUCAUUCAAGUCCAGCACCAACAGCACAAGUCUCCCUCCCAGAAUUCCCACCGGAAGUCUCAACACCGCUCUAAAGGGCGCUAAUCAAGUGACGCGAGUAUCAAUGAACCAAUCAUUGGCGGCCUGGGAAUGUAAUGCACUGAUUGGCUGAGCCUGUGUCACAUGCUCCCCUCCGGCUUCCCACCUCAUUCAAGUCCAGCAGGAACAGCACAAGUCUCCCUCCCAGAAUUCCCACCGGAAGUCUCAACACCGCUCUAAAGGGCGCUAAUCAAGUCACGUGAGUAUCAAUGAACCAAUCAUUGGUGGCCUGGGAAUGUAACGCACUGAUUGGCUGAGCCUGUGUCACGUGCUCCCCUCUGGCUUCCCACCUCAUUCAAGUCCAGCAGGAACAGCACAAGUCUCCCUCCCAGAAUUCCCACCGGAAGUCUCACCACCACUCUAAAGGACUCUAAUGAAGUCACGUGAAUAUCAAGGAACCAAUCAUUGGCGGCCCCGGGAGUGAUUGGCUGAGCCUGUGUCACGUGCGCCGGGGCCCUCGGCCUUCUAAAAUCACGUGACUGAGAAGGGGCCGGGAAAGGGCAGGUGGCCUGGUGACCCGGGUCUGGGCGACCACGGAGCCCGAGUGGCCCCCAAGGUCCAGAGUCAGCGCCUGAGGCUCGGUGACGUGUUUCCCUCCCCCCGGGGGGCGGCCGCUCAGCGGGCCCGUCCGACUCCCCGCUCGGCUCUUCCAACAAGUCGCCAUAAAGGGGGAAGAUGGAGGCCAGCAUCAGCCUGUAAAGGGACCACCCCUCAGGGCGGAGAAGGGGAGACCCGGCCAUCGCCCUUUCCCCGGGCAGGGCGGCCCCUGGGCCCAGGAAGCCAGGAGCCGAACCCGAGGCCUGGCGGACCGCCUUGUUGGUGGGCAGCUGCAGAGGCCUUGCCAUCGCGGAGCUGGUGCCCCGGGCGUGCAUGGCGGUGGCAGAUAGAUGAGCGGUCUGCAGCUGUACGGACAGAACAGCCCUGGAGGGAAAACUGCAUUUCUUCAGGAGGCAAGCAGAGGCUCGGAGAUGAGGAAAGAAGCGUUUUUAAGGGUCUGGCACCUGUGCUUCCACCAGAUAAGGACUCGGAGUCAUCACCCUCUUCUGUGGACCUGCCUCUUACUAGGAUGAUGAGCAACCAAAUUCUCUCUGAAACUCUACCCACGGGAGUGUGA